This 183-nucleotide non-coding RNA is filed under the name Diplocloster agilis. Its description in RNAcentral is "6S / SsrS RNA". It matches the Rfam family "6S / SsrS RNA". Rfam says of the family: E. coli 6S RNA was the first non coding RNA to be sequenced, but its function was unknown until recently. It consists of 184 nucleotides that fold into an extended hairpin structure with a large single-stranded internal bulge. The record is from Rfam by way of RNAcentral. Lineage: Bacteria; Bacillati; Bacillota; Clostridia; Lachnospirales; Lachnospiraceae.
UAAUUCCUGAAAUGUUCGACAAUCCUGCAAUUUUGAACCUACAUUUUCUUUUAUGGGAUUCCUAUAUUGCCCGUUCUGAUGUCAGGCCGUCAUUACGCAGCGGAAGGCAGAUGACGGGUUGCGGUCGCCCACCUAGCUGUGGCUAGGAGUCAAAAUAGCAGGAAACGGCAUUUUGGGGUAACA